AUCAGUCUUAUUCUGCAAGUUUUAACAAGGUGACCUCAGCAGCCUGGGUACAUCUGUGCUCCAGCUUUGCAGAGUCCAUCCUGGAGGCUGUAGACUUGGAUGGCUUGGUUCUCUUUCACUACUCCAACCCUAAGAUGCCUGGCAUUUGUGCUCAUGAAGAUGAGUUCCAGAGGGUCUAAAAAGGAACAGAUUCUCCACACAUUGCAAAAUUAUAAUAACUCAAAAAUUUGGCAAGUGAAGUCAUGAAGAACCAAAUGUCAAGAAUACACUACAACUUUCUAAAGCUAUCGCCAGAUUACCAGGCGGCUUUGGGGAGCACCUUAAAGAAGCAUGUUCAGGUCCCAGCAAGUCCUGUGGUCCCUGUGGUCCCUUGACUCCCACUUCACCACCACUUCUGACAAUUUCUUAAGCAUCUCAAUCUAUUUAUUCCAUUUCAGCUUAAAAUAUCAAAGGUGGUUUCUGCUUCUUGCACUGAAACAGGACUGACACAGUAGGGAUGACAUAUAAACAAAUGUUACAGAAACGUCUUACAAUCUUUCAUAUUAAGAAAUCUGAAUAAACAAAAUUGUAAGUGAAAACUAUUACAGCUCUGAAACAAGUUUUCUUUGCAAUGCAUAUGGAAUUACAUGUGAAUUUAUUUUCUUAAAAGUUGUUGGAAAAAUUAAGGAUGAAUUUUUAUUUUCCCAAAAGUUUGUUCAUUUUUUAAAUUUAUUUUGACAAUCAAACUUUGUUUUUAUUUAGAAAAGAACAGAACUCUUAUGUUUCUUAUUUCUCCAUCUUCAUCACCAGUAAAUCAACUUUUAUCCUUUGGAUAAGCUAAACUUUAUAUAAUAAGUAUUAAAAUUGACUUUUUAAAGGAAGAAUUUCAUGUAAUUUAGUAAAAUGGCCUUUCUCCAUUAAACUGGUAUUGAAUAAAACUAGGAUUGCACUAAUAAAAUAUAAGUUUAUAAUAAGCAUAAAGUUUUAA
Molecule: long non-coding RNA, 967 nt
Organism: Mustela lutreola (European mink)
Lineage: Eukaryota; Metazoa; Chordata; Mammalia; Carnivora; Mustelidae
Exons: 4
Source: RefSeq, a predicted model, not a curated record